RNAcentral lists this ribosomal RNA (715 nucleotides) under uncultured bacterium. RNAcentral describes it as "bacterial SSU rRNA". It matches the Rfam family "Bacterial small subunit ribosomal RNA", at positions 8 to 716 of the family's 1533-position model. The record is from RNAcentral.
AGAGUUUGAUCAUGGCUCAGAUUGAACGCUGGCGGCAGGCUUAACACAUGCAAGUCGAGCGGAGAUGAGGUGCUUGCACCUUAUCUUAGCGGCGGACGGGUGAGUAAUGCUUAGGAAUCUGCCUAUUAGUGGGGGACAACAUUCCGAAAGGAAUGCUAAUACCGCAUACGUCCUACGGGAGAAAGCAGGGGAUCUUCGGACCUUGCGCUAAUAGAUGAGCCUAAGUCGGAUUAGCUAGUUGGUGGGGUAAAGGCCUACCAAGGCGACGAUCUGUAGCGGGUCUGAGAGGAUGACCCGCCACACUGGGACUGAGACACGGCCCAGACUCCUACGGGAGGCAGCAGUGGGGAAUAUUGGACAAUGGGGGGAACCCUGAUCCAGCCAUGGCCGCGUGUGUGAAGAAGGCCUUAUGGUUGUAAAGCACUUUAAGCGAGGAGGAGGCUACUGAGACUAAUACUCUUGGAUAGUGGACGUUACUCGCAGAAUAAGCACCGGCUAACUCUGUGCCAGCAGCCGCGGUAAUACAGAGGGUGCGAGCGUUAAUCGGAUUUACUGGGCGUAAAGCGUGCGUAGGCGGCUUUUUAAGUCGGAUGUGAAAUCCCCGAGCUUAACUUGGGAAUUGCAUUCGAUACUGGGAAGCUAGAGUAUGGGAGAGGAUGGUAGAAUUCCAGGUGUAGCGGUGAAAUGCGUAGAGAUCUGGAGGAAUACCGAUGGC